GAGUGUCGGGUUAAGUCCCAUAACGAGCGCAACCCCUAUUGCCAGUUGCUAACAGGAGAGCUGAGCACUCUGGCGAGACUGCCGCCGACAAGGCGGAGGAAGGUGGGGAUGACGUCAAGUCAUCAUGGCCUUUAUGCCCAGGGCUACACACGUGCUACAAUGGCCGGCACAGACGGCAGCUUAGUGGCGACACUUGGCAAAUCCUCUAAAGCCGGUCCCAGUUCGGAUUGCAGUCUGCAACUCGACUGCAUGAAGCCGGAAUCGCUAGUAAUCGCAGAUCAGCCAAGCUGCGGUGAAUACGUUCCCGGGCCUU
This 313-nucleotide ribosomal RNA is filed under the name uncultured Synergistaceae bacterium. RNAcentral's name for it is "bacterial SSU rRNA". It matches the Rfam family "Bacterial small subunit ribosomal RNA", at positions 1070 to 1382 of the family's 1533-position model. Lineage: Bacteria; Thermotogati; Synergistota; Synergistia; Synergistales; Synergistaceae. The record is from RNAcentral.